GGAAAAAAAAAAUUGAAGAUGCUUAUAAUCUGUUGGAGCGAAUUGCUUGUGGUCAAAUGAGAGGGUGAUUUAAGGAGACUAGAUAGAGUGCUUGAUGCAUUAAGCAUGAUUGAUGUUAAACUCAAUGCAUUAACAAGGGACUUAGAUAAGUUGAGUAUCAAUGUAGUUAGAUCUAGCCAUUCUGUUUGUGACUAGUGUGGUGGAGGACAUCCAAGUUCUAAAUGUAAUUAUUCUCAUGAUCCUUCUUUGGAAUAGAUGAAUUAUGUGAAUAAUAAUGGUCCAAUCAGAGAAUUUAGAGGAAUUACUUAUUUAAACACUUAUAAUCCUAGAUGGAGGAACCACCCAAACU
Molecule: unclassified non-coding RNA, 349 nt
Filed under: Hevea brasiliensis (rubber tree)
Lineage: Eukaryota; Viridiplantae; Streptophyta; Magnoliopsida; Malpighiales; Euphorbiaceae
Source: RNAcentral